Molecule: ribosomal RNA, 236 nt
Filed under: uncultured bacterium
Lineage: Bacteria
Description: partial 16S ribosomal RNA
Rfam family: Bacterial small subunit ribosomal RNA
Source: RNAcentral
UGGCGGACGGGUGGAGUAAUGUCUGGGAAACUGCCGGAUGGAGGGGGGUAACUACUGGAAACGGUAGCUAAUACCGCAUAACGUCGCAAGACCAAAGAGGGGGACCUUAGGGCCUCUUGCCAUCGGAUGUGCCCAGAUGGGAUUAGCUUGUUGGUGGGGUAACGGCUCACCAAGGCGACGAUCCCUAGCUGGUCUGAGAGGAUGACCAGCCACACUGGAACUGAGACACGGUCCAG